RNAcentral lists this ribosomal RNA (253 nucleotides) under uncultured bacterium. Its description in RNAcentral is "partial 16S ribosomal RNA". It matches the Rfam family "Bacterial small subunit ribosomal RNA", at positions 524 to 776 of the family's 1533-position model. The record is from RNAcentral.
UACGUAGGGAGCAAGCGUUGUCCGGAAUCAUUGGGCGUAAAGAGCUCGUAGGCGGCUCGUUGCGUCGGCUGUGAAAACCCGCAGCUCAACUGUGGGCUUGCAGCUGAUACGGGCGGGCUGGAGUUCGGUAGGGGAGACUGGAAUUCCUGGUGUAGCGGUGAAAUGCGCAGAUAUCAGGAGGAACACCGGUGGCGAAGGCGGGUCUCUGGGCCGAUACUGACGCUGAGGAGCGAAAGCGUGGGGAGCGAACAGG